RNAcentral lists this ribosomal RNA (497 nucleotides) under uncultured bacterium. Its description in RNAcentral is "partial 16S ribosomal RNA". It matches the Rfam family "Bacterial small subunit ribosomal RNA", at positions 28 to 507 of the family's 1533-position model. The record is from RNAcentral.
GAUGAACGCUGGCGGCGUGCCUAAUACAUGCAAGUCGAGCGAACAGACGAGGAGCUUGCUCCUCUGACGUUAGCGGCGGACGGGUGAGUAACACGUGGAUAACCUACCUAUAAUACUGGGAUGACUUCGGGAAACCGGAGCUAAUACCGGAUAAUAUAUUGAACCGGAUGGUUCAAUAGUGAAAGACGGUUUUGCUGUCACUUAUAGAUGGAUCCGCGUCGCAUUAGCUAGUUGGUAAGGUAACGGCUUACCAAGGCAACGAUGCGUAGCCGACCUGAGAGGGUGAUCGGCCACACUGGAACUGAGACACGGUCCAGACUCCUACGGGAGGCAGCAGUAGGGAAUCUUCCGCAAUGGGCGAAAGCCUGACGGAGCAACGCCGCGUGAGUGAUGAAGGUCUUCGGAUCGUAAAACUCUGUUAUUAGGGAAGAACAAAAGUGUAAGUAACUAUGCACGUCUUGACGGUACCUAAUCAGAAAGCCACGGCUAACUACGUG